UAGACUAAAACAAAAACGGCAGAUUCCGGAAAAAGAGACCAUCGUCUCCAAUUACAAAAAAAAAAGAUGGCAUAAUUCCAAAUUUCUUAGGCAUGAAAUGCAGCCGAGCAACAACUGAAAGUGAGGCUUCUUCAGCUUCAGCUUCAGGUCGACUAUGAAUCCAAUUCUUCAAACGUGAAAAAUAAAGCUGCUAAUCUUUUCACGCUUUCUGGAUAUAAUAGUGGAAACUGAAACUUGAUUACCUAAGAUGAAUAAAUUUUCUAUGGCAAAAGCUAAAAAAAUUCAGCCAUGAACGGCCAAUAUCUAGCUCCUCUCUCAUGCUAUUUUCACUACCAAAACAUUCCCAAAAUCACCUAAAUUAGUAGCCAAAAAACUAUGCAAAACUCUAGCCUUAAUUUAUCUCAAAUUCCAUCCCCAAACUCAGUAAUAGUGUGCUGAAACUUACCCCAAACACCGGCCACCUCUUAGUCGUGAUUUUCUAUCGAGGUUCUGUUACAAGUUCCAAUCAAUAGCUCGUUUGUGUGUUGCCGCACGUUUAUGUAUCGCAAAUUCAGCGAUAAAGGUUCACAUUCUUCAUUCUUCUUUACUAUUAUUUAGCUCACUUUGUUACUCUUUCUCAUUACUCUUUUGUUCUAUGAAUUGUAACAUGAUAAAGUUAAUUGGGUCAUGGUAAUUUUUUAUGUUUAUGAAUUACGUUGUUUCAUUUGUGUUGUAAG
RNAcentral lists this long non-coding RNA (716 nucleotides) under Nicotiana benthamiana. Its description in RNAcentral is "long non-coding RNA (NBEN_LNC032020)". Lineage: Eukaryota; Viridiplantae; Streptophyta; Magnoliopsida; Solanales; Solanaceae. The record is from RNAcentral.